AGAGUACAGUUGGAGGGCAGUCUGGUGCCAGCAGCCGCGGUAAUUCCAGCUCCAAUAGCGUAUAUUAAACUUGUUGCAGUUAAAAAGCUCGUAGUUGAAUUUCUGCGUUGCCCGACUCGGCUACUUGCCUUGUCUGGUUUCGCUUUUGGGGUUUUCCCCUUUUUACUUUGAGAAAAUUAGAGUGUUUCAAGCAGACUUGUGUCUUGAAUACUUCAGCAUGGAAUAAUAAAGUAGGACUUUGGUUCUAUUUUGUUGGUUUGUGAACCUUAGUAAUGGUUAAUAGGAACGGUUGGGGGCA
Molecule: ribosomal RNA, 298 nt
Filed under: Babesia gibsoni
Lineage: Eukaryota; Apicomplexa; Aconoidasida; Piroplasmida; Babesiidae
Description: partial 18S ribosomal RNA
Rfam family: Eukaryotic small subunit ribosomal RNA
Source: RNAcentral